UCCCCGAUGGUCUAGUGGCUAUGAUUUCCGCUUGUCAUUAAACCGACAAGUCGCGGGAGACCAGGGUUCGAUUCCCUGUCGAGGAG
This 86-nucleotide transfer RNA is filed under the name Myriangium duriaei CBS 260.36. RNAcentral's name for it is "tRNA-Asp". It matches the Rfam family "tRNA". Rfam says of the family: Transfer RNA (tRNA) molecules are approximately 80 nucleotides in length. Their secondary structure includes four short double-helical elements and three loops (D, anti-codon, and T loops). Lineage: Eukaryota; Fungi; Ascomycota; Dothideomycetes; Myriangiales; Myriangiaceae. The record is from RNAcentral.